This 253-nucleotide ribosomal RNA is filed under the name uncultured bacterium. RNAcentral's name for it is "partial 16S ribosomal RNA". It matches the Rfam family "Bacterial small subunit ribosomal RNA", at positions 524 to 776 of the family's 1533-position model. The record is from RNAcentral.
UACGUAGGGUGCAAGCGUUGUCCGGAAUUAUUGGGCGUAAAGAGCUCGUAGGCGGUUCGUCGCGUCGGCUGUGAAAACCUGAGGCUCAACCUCAGGCCUGCAGUCGAUACGGGCGGACUUGAGUACUGCAGGGGAGACUGGAAUUCCUGGUGUAGCGGUGAAAUGCGCAGAUAUCAGGUGGAACACCGGUGGCGAAGGCGGGUCUCUGGGCCGUAACUGACGCUGAGGAGCGAAAGCGUGGGGAGCGAACAGG